UCCGAGUUGACCCCGGCAGUCUCCCAAGAGUCCCCACCAUAACGUGCUGGCAACAUGGGACAGGGGUUGCGCUCGUUGCGGGACUUAACCCAACAUCUCACGACACGAGCUGAGGACAGCCAUGCACCACCUGUGUAUGACCCCGAAGGACACCGUAUCUCUACGGCUUUUCCAUACAUGUCAAACCCAGGUAAGGUUCUUCGCGUUGCCUCGAAUUAAGCAACAUGCUCCGCCGCUUGUGCGAGCCCCCGUCAAUUCCUUUGAGUUUUAGCCUUGCGGCCGUACUCCCCAGGCGGGGCACUUAAUGCGUUAGCUACGGCACGGAACCCGUUGAAAAGGCCCCACACCUAGUGCCCAACGUUUACGGCAUGGACUAC
Molecule: unclassified non-coding RNA, 377 nt
Filed under: uncultured Acidimicrobiia bacterium
Lineage: Bacteria; Bacillati; Actinomycetota; Acidimicrobiia
Description: contains 16S-23S intergenic spacer region
Source: RNAcentral